GACGAACGCUGGCGGCGUGCCUAAUACAUGCAAGUCGAACGCUUCUUUCCUCCCGAGUGCUUGCACUCAAUUGGAAAGAGGAGUGGCGGACGGGUGAGUAACACGUGGGUAACCUACCCAUCAGAGGGGGAUAACACUCGGAAACAGGUGCUAAUACCGCAUAACAGUUUAUGCCGCAUGGCAUAAGAGUGAAAGGCGCUUUCGGGUGUCGUUGAUGGAUGGACCCGCGGUGCAUUAGCUAGUUGGUGAGGUAACGGCUCACCAAGGCCACGAUGCAUAGCCGACCUGAGAGGGUGAUCGGCCACACUGGGACUGAGACACGGCCCAGACUCCUACGGGAGGCAGCAGUAGGGAAUCUUCGGCAAUGGACGAAAGUCUGACCGAGCAACGCCGCGUGAGUGAAGAAGGUUUUCGGAUCGUAAAACUCCGUUGUUAGAGAAGAACAAGGACGUUAGUAACUGAACGUCCCCUGACGGUAUCUAACCAGAAAGCCACGGCUAACUACGUG
Molecule: ribosomal RNA, 508 nt
Filed under: uncultured bacterium
Lineage: Bacteria
Description: partial 16S ribosomal RNA
Rfam family: Bacterial small subunit ribosomal RNA
Source: RNAcentral